Oreochromis niloticus (Nile tilapia) is the source of this 1302-nucleotide long non-coding RNA. RefSeq lists it as uncharacterized. The record is from RefSeq and is a predicted model, not a curated record. NCBI's taxonomy places the organism in Eukaryota, Metazoa, Chordata, Actinopteri, Cichliformes, Cichlidae. The transcript is spliced from 3 exons.
ACCGUUCAAACAGCAGUCGCUUUCUAAAACAUCAGAUAUGUAUCGGAUUCAGUACCACAUACGAAAGUGACCCAGAUCGGAUUUGAAAAUAUCGGAUUUGUGCCGUUCACACUGUCAUACCAAGAUCGGAUAUGAGUCGCAUAGGGUCCAAAAAAUCGGAUUUGAUGCGCUUUCGCCUGCAGUGUGAACGUAGCCUUAUAGAUCUGUAAGGGGCUGAGUAUGACGGUCUUUUGUGGCCGUGGUCCAGCAGGCCGUUCUUCACGGAUGAGCGGCGGUAGGGAUGUCGAUUAAUGGAUGACCUCAUGCUGUCUCCCCGGCGAAGAUGUUCGUCCUGAUCGCUGCCGUUUGCCAUCUUGGUGAGAGACCCGACCCGGUGUAUCAGACCUCCGUUAGAGACGCCGCCGUCACCCACAACACCGCCCUGACCUGCAAAAGGAGGUCUUCGUUCAGAGCCAAGCGCAUCUCUGGACCCAGAUCCUGCAGAGUCUUCAGACCAGCUUUACAGAGCUACACGGAAACACAAAUAAAUUCAUGAAGACAUACUCGCUGUAACAGCAUCAUACACAAAUACAGGUCCCAGUUUUUUUCCUAAAGGCAUCCUCGGGCUUUGGUUGGAAUCUAAUUCAGUUUUAAAAGCUCUUUCUCAAAAGCAUCACAACUGAUGACCGAAUUAAUGAGGGAAUUGUGUUUGCAAGUUAAACAGAUAUUCCAGAUGUGCUUUCAUGAUCUUUCUGAGGUGGUCCAAGGCAAGAGGAGCUAUAUAAUCUCUCGAGCGACCUCUGGGUCUUCUAAAGGGUUUCCACCAAGUUGGGUGUGUCUGGAAAACCUCCAAAGAUGUCCAAGAGGAAUUUUUACCUGAUGCUCUCACCACCUCAACUGGGUUCUUUCUGUUCAAAGGAGCAAUAAUUCUAUUGCAAGCUACCUUUGGAUGUCUUGGCUCCUCACCUCAUCUCUAAAGUUGACCUACCCACCCUACAGAGGAAACUCAUUUCAGCCACUUUUCUCUGCAGCCUUGUUUUUUCACUACUCAAACUCAUGAUGGUAGUUUAGUGCUCGCAUGCAGAUCAACUGGUAAACUGGAAGCUUUGCCCUCCAGUUCAGCACUCUCUUCAGCAGGAAACGAACAUCACAAAUCUUUGGGUUGAUCUCAUGCUUUACCUUCGCUUUACUCACAAACAAGACCUUUGGCUUCUUCAGUUGUUAAAAGGAACAAAACCAUGUUGGGUUACUGCUGCCUGUCUUAAUAUUGCCCCAUACUGUUGGUCUGCAUCUUGCCACUUUGCAGCCAUGCCUUCUGUCAGU